UACGGAGGGAGCCAGCGUUGUUCGGAAUUACUGGGCGUAAAGCGCACGUAGGCGGCUUUGUAAGUUAGAGGUGAAAGCCCGGAGCUCAACUCCGGAACUGCCUUUAAGACUGCAUCGCUUGAAUCCAGGAGAGGUGAGUGGAAUUCCGAGUGUAGAGGUGAAAUUCGUAGAUAUUCGGAAGAACACCAGUGGCGAAGGCGGCUCACUGGACUGGUAUUGACGCUGAGGUGCGAAAGCGUGGGGAGCAAACAGG
RNAcentral lists this ribosomal RNA (253 nucleotides) under uncultured bacterium. RNAcentral describes it as "partial 16S ribosomal RNA". It matches the Rfam family "Bacterial small subunit ribosomal RNA", at positions 524 to 776 of the family's 1533-position model. The record is from RNAcentral.